Molecule: microRNA precursor, 147 nt
Filed under: Pelodiscus sinensis (Chinese soft-shelled turtle)
Lineage: Eukaryota; Metazoa; Chordata; Testudines; Trionychidae
Description: microRNA 9-2 (ENSPSIG00000020147.1)
Rfam family: mir-9/mir-79 microRNA precursor family (bases 19-94)
About the family: The mature ~21nt miRNAs are processed from hairpin precursor sequences represented here. miR-9 is processed from the 5' arm of its precursor, and miR-79 from the 3' arm. The bounds of the precursors are predicted based on conservation and base pairing and are not generally known.
Source: RNAcentral
AAAAUCUUGUGAGGAAGCGAGUUGUUAUCUUUGGUUAUCUAGCUGUAUGAGUGUGUUGGUCUUCAUAAAGCUAGAUAACCGAAAGUAAAAACUCCUUCAUGAUCAUCGUGAAGCGUGUGGAAAUGAAAGACUACAGCAAGAGACAGU